This is a long non-coding RNA of Mauremys mutica (yellowpond turtle), 1033 nucleotides long. RefSeq lists it as uncharacterized. Lineage: Eukaryota; Metazoa; Chordata; Testudines; Geoemydidae. The transcript is spliced from 3 exons. The record is from RefSeq and is a predicted model, not a curated record.
GGAGCUGAAAGAGGAAGCUGUGCUAUUGGAGAGACUGAGCAGUACAAACCAUAUCAGGCACAAGGAAGGAAGCCCUGAGGCUGAAACUUUGCAAGCUUGUCUCAGCUGAAAGGUUUACCACCCUCCCCAACCAAAUGACCAUUGGAUCACAACAACUAAAAAAUGGCUAAAAUUCAAAUUUCUUCAAACUUGGUGUUUGGUUAGACCUCCUUGAAGAAAUGUCUCUCACCCUUCACUUCAUUCUGCUUCUUGAGUGCUUUGGACAGGCUGCUGGAGGAAGCAGCAUUGGAGAAGCAUGUUAUGGUGGGGUAAGGAGGACAGAAAACAGCUGUGGCAAGAGUGGUAAGUGUCUUCCUUCCUUCCAGCACGUUGGAGGAAGAAUGAGAUGUCUCCUUUUACACAGCAGCAAGGCGGAAGAAAGGCUUUUCCCAACAGAUGGGUGCAAGUAAGAAAGAGUAAAGCCUUCCUGCUCCUAGCAGCUAGGAAAGAGGAAUGGAAAUAUAGGCAAGAGAGUGAUGAAGCUCCCAUGCCCUCUCUUCCAGAAGCUGCAGAUGGAAGCGAUGGGAACUCUCUAUUUGUAAGCCAAGGUGAUAUGCAGAGGUGCGGCAUGCAUUCUGUAAGCUACCCGGAAUAAACAUUAACAGGAAAUGCCCUAUGAUCUCCUGCCUAGAAGCCAGGCGGCCUUCUUCUGAAUGUGCUGCCCCUGAGCCCUGUUUGAUGGGCUCCCUCAUCUUCUAACCCAGUUGACAUUACUGCUCUGUCCACUCUUCCUAUGCAGCAAGAACAUCCUGUUCGGAAUGAGAUAACACACUGAAUUUCCUCAGCAUGCUACCAUACUUCAGUUCAGCAGCAUAAGAACCAUUCUGUUAAUUUUUGCUCUUACAGCUGUUUGAAUUUGGGUAAUUGGAGGAUGCUCAGUAAUUUUCUUGGUCGUUUUUAUCCCUAAUCUAACGAGCACACACAGUAUGCAACUGCAUGUCUGAAAGCUAACCCAGAGAACUUUGUUGUUCAGUGUUCAAAUGUUUGGUAAAUA